RNAcentral lists this ribosomal RNA (492 nucleotides) under uncultured bacterium. Its description in RNAcentral is "partial 16S ribosomal RNA". It matches the Rfam family "Bacterial small subunit ribosomal RNA", at positions 29 to 507 of the family's 1533-position model. The record is from RNAcentral.
AGUGAACGCUGGCGGUAGGCCUAACACAUGCAAGUCGAACGGCAGCACAGUAAGAGCUUGCUCUUACGGGUGGCGAGUGGCGGACGGGUGAGGAAUACAUCGGAAUCUACUUUUUCGUGGGGGAUAACGUAGGGAAACUUACGCUAAUACCGCAUACGACCUACGGGUGAAAGCAGGGGAUCUUCGGACCUUGCGCGAUUGAAUGAGCCGAUGUCGGAUUAGCUAGUUGGCGGGGUAAGGGCCCACCAAGGCGACGAUCCGUAGCUGGUCUGAGAGGAUGAUCAGCCACACUGGAACUGAGACACGGUCCAGACUCCUACGGGAGGCAGCAGUGGGGAAUAUUGGACAAUGGGCGCAAGCCUGAUCCAGCCAUACCGCGUGGGUGAAGAAGGCCUUCGGGUUGUAAAGCCCUUUUGUUGGGAAAGAAAAGCAGCAGGUUAAUACCCCGCUGUUCUGACGGUACCCAAAGAAUAAGCACCGGCUAACCUCGUG